Macaca mulatta (Rhesus monkey) is the source of this 861-nucleotide non-coding RNA. The record is from RefSeq and is a predicted model, not a curated record. NCBI's taxonomy places the organism in Eukaryota, Metazoa, Chordata, Mammalia, Primates, Cercopithecidae.
UGUUGUGUGCUUUCUUGCAGGCGACUUCUUGGCAGAUACUGCAUCUUCAGCCAGGAGAAGUUGGCUUAGUACAAAAGGGCUUUUGAAGUGAUUUUCGAGAUUGUUGACUAUUAUGUAACAGAUGGCCCAACAGACCUCCGACUCUUUUGCGGUGUUGGCCAGCUUGGCUCAGGAAAAUAGCAGCACUGGAUAAUGACUACUGCAGAAGCCGCACGGACUCAGCCCCUAAGCCCUCCAGUACCACCUAAUGCCAUCUUCAGCAUUCUCUGGACCUCAAAGUCAGCCCAUAUUCAUUUGUGAGUUUUCUGUGUAUUGCUGCUGCUUCUUUCUUUCUUUUUGUUUUAAAGAGAUGCAUACACCAUAACUUUUUUGGUCUUUUUGCUUUUGCUUUUGGUCCCCUUUUUGCUUUUCUUUUUGAGCCAGCCACACAUAAAUCAGUAUCUUGAAAUACUGUCUUUUAUCAUGUCUGUGAGAGAAGCAGAAGAAUAGGGAUGAUUCUGUUUGUGCUCAAGCUUCCAUCUGGAACAUCCAGAACAAGAACUCUGAAGUUACUUUUUAACCUGGAAUAAUAUGAAUGGUGAAAUCAAAAGUCAGACUUUCAAUUUACUGAAUAACAUUGUUUUAAAAUGAAGUAAAUUUAUAUGACAUCUGCAUGUCUGGAAAAUAAUAUCCAAUAACAAUAAUAAUAAUUAUUAUUAUCUGGUUUAAUAAUGCACUUUAUUGAUAAAGAAAAUGAGAGCUAGAGAAGUGAACAUUUCAGGUCAUGCAAUGGAUAAAGGGCAGAGCUUGGGCUAGAAGGUCUCAGUUCUACUUUGGUAUUAUUUCUGUUUGUUUGGUAGUAAAGUAUGGUAUUCAAUUAAG